GUCCAUGUGAGACAUGUUUGUGCAUGUAUUAUAAGUGUAGGUAUAUAAUAUAUUGUGAUAUAUUUCAUUGCAAUUAUAGAAGAUAACCAGAAUGUUUUUGUAGAUCCGUAUUUAUUGUUUCGGUCACUAUAUAUUAUUGGGAAUCAGACUCUGUAACCAGUCAAAUCUGAUUGUAAACAUGAAACUGUAGGGGGCACUUUAAAGAAAGGAGGAGAAAAAAAAAGAAAAAGAAGCAGGGAAAAAAAACCCAAAGACAAACAAUUUGGCAGUUUGUGAUGGGUAAAUGGUGCAGAGUUGAGAUGUUCUGCUAGUAACUGUACGUUGGUCAUUGAUUGAAAAAUACAAACGCACCGAAUCACGUUAAAAUCAGUUGCAUCUCCUUGAUUAAUUGGGUCAUUGUAUGGCUUGCUGGCUUUACCUAUAGCUGGAGAACAUUUGCUGUGGUAGAGAAUAAGAUUUACCAUUGGCAAAUAUUGUUAACCUAGAGCCCAAUUCUUGGAGCUGUAGUGGUAUUUUUGUUCAGUUUGUUACCUGCAGAAUUUUCAACACUUGAUGCUCUUCCUGGUUUUUAGCAUUUACUUCCAAGUAGUGGCAGUAGUUUAUAAAGGUAUUUUCUGUUUGGUGUAAAUGUGUGCGACUUCCACCUUGUCAGCAUAUGUACUUUCUUGCAGUUUUGUCUCAGUCCAAACAGGAGCAAUGUAAACUCCUGCCAGAAGGUAGCGACGAUAGUGAAGAUGUGAUCAGAACAUGGGAGCAGUUUUGUUUUCUUGGUGGUUUUUCCUUUUUUUUUUUUUUUUUUGCCUCAUUGUGAAGACGUAGAAUUAUAUUCUUGUUCAAACAGUGCUCCUCAUCUGGGGACAAGGGCAGUCUCAAUUCUUUGGUGGUAGGAGCUUCCUGAUUUGUGGCUCCUGGUGUUCAGCUUUGUGUUCCUUUUUUCCACUUGGAGUAGACUGCAAUCUAGAGAGCAUUUAACACUACAGCUUUCCCUUACAUGUUUCUAUAAAUUGCUGGUGGUUUUAAAAUUUUUAUUUUAGAAGCGUAAUUACAUUUUUCUAAAACUGAAUAUUUUUCCCUUCUGAAUUCCUUUUUUCCUUCAGUCAAAAAAAAAGUGACAAAACCAGCAUUACAGUGCAGGGGUCAGCACUCACUAAUACUGCGAUCCAAUGAGACACAGGCUUUGUCUAGUUUUGAAAAGCUUAAGGAAUUCCUAAGAUGCCAAAGAUGCAUUCAGAGCUAAAUUUCAGGUACGCAGAUGUGCUUGCAGCAGCUGCUCCUGCUGUCAGCUGCCCUGCAGCCACGUCCUUGACUCACCACUGUAAGGUAACUGAGUAUAGACCUGCAAGGGGUGUGUGGGCAAAGGGCAGUUUAGCUGGAGAACCUGUGCUCAAAGACUCCCUUGUUGGUAAUUUGGUGCAGCGCUUAUACUUUAAAAAGGAAAAUCAAUACUUCCACAAUUUACAAUUGAAAUCUUAGGUUUCCUCCUAGUGGACUGCCAUGGACCAGAAAUUAACUGGAGCAGCAGUUUGUUUUAUGGCUUACACUAACUACUGUUAGCAGCCACUAGUAAGUAAUAUCCUGUAUAAUACUGGGGAUGCAAAUGUAAGAAGUGUCACUGCA
Molecule: long non-coding RNA, 1617 nt
Filed under: Gallus gallus (chicken)
Lineage: Eukaryota; Metazoa; Chordata; Aves; Galliformes; Phasianidae
Source: RNAcentral